CACGGAAGAAUACAGUUUUGAUGAUAAAGAAAACAAGGUCAACACCCCUCGUCGUUCACCAAGAAAAGCAGCAGAUGGAUUCCCAGAAGACAACAUGAAUGGUACACCAAGAAGAUCUCCAAGGAAGCCGAUUUCUGGCAGCACCCCACAGGGAUCACCAAGCAGAGCACUGAAAAGGUCACCCAGUAAAAGCAGCCCACAGAAAGGGAAAUUCUUUUCAAUAUUUGAUCCCAAGCGUCGGCUCUCUGACAAGGUCUCUGUAGCAG
This is a non-coding RNA of Penaeus vannamei (Pacific white shrimp), 266 nucleotides long. NCBI's taxonomy places the organism in Eukaryota, Metazoa, Arthropoda, Malacostraca, Decapoda, Penaeidae. The record is from RefSeq and is a predicted model, not a curated record.